Molecule: long non-coding RNA, 527 nt
Organism: Canis lupus familiaris (dog)
Lineage: Eukaryota; Metazoa; Chordata; Mammalia; Carnivora; Canidae
Exons: 3
Source: RefSeq, a predicted model, not a curated record
CAGGAGGAGGAGCAUCUGCUUCUGGCUCACAGCUGACGGCUCGUAAUUGAAACUGCAGAAAGCAAAUCCAGGGAGAAGAGGUGCAUAGAUAUGGAACCUGGUGCUUCAAGAUGCUAUGAAACUUCUUCAAGGGCAUACAACUAAUAAGUGAUAGGGACAAGAUUCUAAUGCAUUUUGCUGCUGGAAGCCCAGGUCCAUCUUCAUCAUUGGCGGCAUCUCUGUUCUUCGACCCCAGUGGCCAGCAUGGUACCAAGCCCACAGGCUGUCCUCCCCCCACCCAAACCUGCUGGAACUAGCUUCACUCAUCUGGAUUUCAGUCCCCUGCCUCCCUCUCCUUCCCUGGGAGCUUCACAGAGCUUCACAGUGCAGAUAGGCUGCAGACCUCAGGACUCCAGCAGACAGGCUGAAAGCUGGAGGAAAGACUGCGGGGCUGCACAGUCUCCUAAGCCUGCCAAGGAUGAACUUCGAUGGCGCAACUCGGACCUGGACAAUCAUUCGCGAACAAAGGAGCCCAGACGCCUGUGCCU